CUCCACCAUAGUUCGCAGCUUUCAGCCACCGGAGCAGAAACACGGUCAGAUCUCAGUAGCAGAGAUAAUGAAAAGUUUUGUUGGAUUAAGAAAACAUCCACCCGAGUAGGGUCCCCCGCCCGUCCUCCUCCUCUAACCAAAAAAACUGUGCUUGUGUUGAUAAGACAGGUUGAAAAAACACCUGAGACCACCUUCUGGAUGAUGGGUCUUGAAUGGCUGCUUUGAGGACGAUUCCUUUUCCUGCCAAGCACCAGUAAAGAGACUGAAGAAUGGAUUGCGUCACUUGCUUCUAUCAAUUGCACUUGAAUUUCAAAUCAGGCUCAGGAUCUCAAAUUAUGAAAGCUGGCAUCGUACAAACACCCUGAAUAAAAUGGA
Long non-coding RNA from Stegostoma tigrinum, 375 nucleotides. RefSeq lists it as uncharacterized. NCBI's taxonomy places the organism in Eukaryota, Metazoa, Chordata, Chondrichthyes, Orectolobiformes, Stegostomatidae. The transcript is spliced from 3 exons. The record is from RefSeq and is a predicted model, not a curated record.